GAGAGGUGCUUGCACCUCUUGAGAGCGGCGGACGGGUGAGUAAUGCCUAGGAAUCUGCCUGGUAGUGGGGGAUAACGCUCGGAAACGGACGCUAAUACCGCAUACGUCCUACGGGAGAAAGCAGGGGACCUUCGGGCCUUGCGCUAUCAGAUGAGCCUAGGUCGGAUUAGCUAGUUGGUGAGGUAAUGGCUCACCAAGGCGACGAUCCGUAACUGGUCUGAGAGGAUGAUCAGUCACACUGGAACUGAGACACGGUCCAGACUCCUACGGGAGGCAGCAGUGGGGAAUAUUGGACAAUGGGCGAAAGCCUGAUCCAGCCAUGCCGCGUGUGUGAAGAAGGUCUUCGGAUUGUAAAGCACUUUAAGUUGGGAGGAAGGGCCAUUACCUAAUACGUGAUGGUUUUGACGUUACCGACAGAAUAAGCACCGGCUAACUCUGUGCCAGCAGCCGCGGUAAUACAGAGGGUGCAAGCGUUAAUCGGAAUUACUGGGCGUAAAGCGCGCGUAGGUGGUUCGUUAAGUUGGAUGUGAAAG
Molecule: ribosomal RNA, 533 nt
Filed under: Pseudomonas sp. S19(2015)
Lineage: Bacteria; Pseudomonadati; Pseudomonadota; Gammaproteobacteria; Pseudomonadales; Pseudomonadaceae
Description: bacterial SSU rRNA
Rfam family: Bacterial small subunit ribosomal RNA
Source: RNAcentral